UUAUUUUAUAAAAAAAAUAUUUUUAAGUAAUUAGGCAAAAUAAUUAUAUUCACCUGUUUAACAAAAACAUGUCUUUUUGAUUUUAAUAUAAAGUCAGUUCUGCUCAAUGAGAAAUUAAAUAGCUGCAGUAUUUUAACUGUACAAAGGUAGCAUAAUCAUUUGUCUUUUAAUUGAAGGCUGGAAUGAAUGAAUUAAUGAAAUAUAAACUGUCUCAAUUAUAUAAAAUAAAUUUAAAUUUUAAGUUAAAAUGCUUAAUUUAAUUUAAGGGACGAUAAGACCCUAUAGAAUUUUAUAUAUUAUAAAUUUUAUAAAUUUUAAUAAUAUAUUUGGUUGGGAGGAUUUUUAUAUUUAAUUAACUUUAAAAUUUUAAAAAUAUUGAUUUAUAGAAAAAUUUAAUUGAAAUAUAUUAUUAUAAUAUAAUAAAAGAAUAAAUUACCUUAGGGAUAACAGCGUAAUAUUUUUGGAAAGAUCAAAUUGAAAAAAUUGUUUGCGACCUCGAUGUUGAAUUAAAAUAAAUUAUAAAUGUAGGCGUUUAUAAAUUUAGUCUGUUCGACUAUGAAAAUUUUACAUGAUUUGAGUUCAGAUCGACGUGAGUCAGAUUGGUUUUUAUCUUUAAAAAAAUUUAAAAUUUUUGUACGAAAGGACU
RNAcentral lists this ribosomal RNA (646 nucleotides) under Osmia taurus. RNAcentral describes it as "partial 16S ribosomal RNA". The stretch from base 443 to 601 matches the Rfam family "Bacterial large subunit ribosomal RNA", at positions 2473 to 2632 of the family's 2925-position model. Lineage: Eukaryota; Metazoa; Arthropoda; Insecta; Hymenoptera; Megachilidae. The record is from RNAcentral.